Molecule: ribosomal RNA, 1405 nt
Filed under: Rathayibacter festucae
Lineage: Bacteria; Bacillati; Actinomycetota; Actinomycetes; Micrococcales; Microbacteriaceae
Description: bacterial SSU rRNA
Rfam family: Bacterial small subunit ribosomal RNA
Source: RNAcentral
AUCAUAUUGUGAUAACCUGCAGUCGACGAUGAAGCCCAGCUUGCUGGGUGGAUUAGUGGCGAACGGGUGAGUAACACGUGAGUAACCUGCCCUUGACUCUGGGAUAAGCGCUGGAAACGGCGUCUAAUACCGGAUACGACCUGCCCCGGCAUCGGGUGCGGGUGGAAAGUUUUUCGGUCAAGGAUGGACUCGCGGCCUAUCAGCUAGUUGGUGAGGUAAUGGCUCACCAAGGCGACGACGGGUAGCCGGCCUGAGAGGGUGACCGGCCACACUGGGACUGAGACACGGCCCAGACUCCUACGGGAGGCAGCAGUGGGGAAUAUUGCACAAUGGGCGAAAGCCUGAUGCAGCAACGCCGCGUGGGGGAUGACGGCCUUCGGGUUGUAAACCUCUUUUAGUAGGGAAGAAGGGCUUCGGCUUGACGGUACCUGCAGAAAAAGCACCGGCUAACUACGUGCCAGCAGCGCGUAUACGUAGGUGCAAGCGUUGUCCGUAUUAUUGGGCGUAAGAGCUCGUAGGCGGUUUGUCGCGUCUGCUGUGAAACCCGAGGCUCAACCUCGGCCUGCAGUGGUACGGCAGACUAGAGUGCGGUAGGGGAGAAUGGAAUUCCUGGUGUAGCGGUGGAAUGCGCAGAUAUCAGGAGGAACACCGAUGGCGAAGGCAGUUCUCUGGGCCGUUACUGACGCUGAGGAGCGAAAGCGUGGGGAGCGAACAGGAUUAGAUACCCUGGUAGUCCACGCCGUAAACGUUGGGAACUAGAUGUGGGGACCUUUCCACGGUCUCCGUGUCGCAGCUAACGCAUUAAGUUCCCCGCCUGGGGAGUACGGCCGCAAGGCUAAAACUCAAAGGAAUUGACGGGGGCCCGCACAAGCGGCGGAGCAUGCGGAUUAAUUCGAUGCAACGCGAAGAACCUUACCAAGGCUUGACAUAUACCGGAAACUUCCAGAAAUGGUUGCCCCGCAAGGUCGGUAUACAGGUGGUGCAUGGUUGUCGUCAGCUCGUGUCGUGAGAUGUUGGGUUAAGUCCCGCAACGAGCGCAACCCUCGUUCUAUGUUGCCAGCACGUCAUGGUGGGAACUCAUAGGAGACUGCCGGGGUCAACUCGGAGGAAGGUGGGGAUGACGUCAAAUCAUCAUGCCCCUUAUGUCUUGGGCUUCACGCAUGCUACAAUGGCCGGUACAAAGGGCUGCGAUACCGUAAGGUGGAGCGAAUCCCAAAAAGCCGGUCUCAGUUCGGAUUGAGGUCUGCAACUCGACCUCAUGAAGUCGGAGUCGCUAGUAAUCGCAGAUCAGCAACGUUGCGGUGAAUACGUUCCCGGGCCUUGUACACACCGCCCGUCAAGUCAUGAAAGUCGGUAACACCCGAAGCCAGUGGCCUAACCGCAAGGAGGAGCGUGCCCUUAAAGC